RNAcentral lists this ribosomal RNA (459 nucleotides) under Clostridiales bacterium oral taxon 085. RNAcentral describes it as "bacterial SSU rRNA". It matches the Rfam family "Bacterial small subunit ribosomal RNA", at positions 28 to 494 of the family's 1533-position model. The record is from RNAcentral. Lineage: Bacteria; Bacillati; Bacillota; Clostridia; Eubacteriales.
GAUAAACGCUGGCGGCGCACAUAAGACAUGCAAGUCGAACGAACUUAAUUGAGAGCUUGCUCUCAAAGCGGUUAGUGGCGGACUGGUGAGUAACACGUAAGCAACCUGCCUAUUAGAGGGGAAUAACAGCGAGAAAUCGUUGCUAAUACCGCAUAUGCUGCGAGUAUCGCAUGAUACAAGCAGGAAAGGAGCAAUCCGCUAAUAGAUGGGCUUGCGUCUGAUUAGUUAGUUGGUGGGGUAACGGCCUACCAAGACGAUGAUCAGUAGCCGGACUGAGAGGUUGAACGGCCACAUUGGGACUGAGAUACGGCCCAGACUCCUACGGGAGGCAGCAGUCGGGAAUAUUGCGCAAUGGAGGAAACUCUGACGCAGUGACGCCGCGUGCAGGAAGAAGGUUUUCGGAUUGUAAACUGCUUUUAACAGGAAAGAAAAAAAUGACGGUACCUGUGAAUAAGCUCC